CCUACGUGUGGCAGCAGUGGGGAAUAUUGCGCAAUGGGCGCAACCCUGACGCAGCAACGCCGCGUGAUUGAAGACGGCCUUCCGGUUGUAAAAAUCUUUAAUCGGGGAAGUAUUUUGACGGUACCCGAAGAAUAAGCUCCGGCUAAAUACGUGCCAGCAGCCGCGGUAAUACGUAGGGAGCACGCGUUAUCCGGAUUUACUGGGUGUAAAGGGCGUGUAGGCGGGCAUGCAAGCCAGAAGUGAAAUCUGGGGGCUUAACCCCCAAACUGCUUUUGGAACUGCGUGUCUUGAGUGAUGGUGAGGCAGGCGGAAUUCGCAGUGUAGCGGUGAAAUGCGUAGAUAUUGGGAGGAACACCAGUGGCGAAGGCGGCCUGCUGGACAGGAACUGACGCUGAGGCGCGAAAGCGUGGGGAGCAAACAGGAUUAGAUACCCUUGUAGUC
Molecule: ribosomal RNA, 441 nt
Filed under: uncultured bacterium
Lineage: Bacteria
Description: partial 16S ribosomal RNA
Rfam family: Bacterial small subunit ribosomal RNA
Source: RNAcentral